RNAcentral lists this ribosomal RNA (1336 nucleotides) under uncultured bacterium. RNAcentral describes it as "bacterial SSU rRNA". It matches the Rfam family "Bacterial small subunit ribosomal RNA", at positions 171 to 1502 of the family's 1533-position model. The record is from RNAcentral.
GCAUAAUGUCUACGGACCAAAGUGUGGGACCUUCGGGCCGCAUGCUGUCGGAUGCGCCUACGUGGGAUUAGCUAGUUGGUGAGGUAAUGGCUCACCAAGGCGACGAUCCCUAGCUGGUUUGAGAGGAUGAUCAGCCACACUGGAACUGAGACACGGUCCAGACUCCUACGGGAGGCAGCAGUGGGGAAUAUUGGACAAUGGGCGAAAGCCUGAUCCAGCCAUGCCGCGUGUGUGAAGAAGGCCUUCGGGUUGUAAAGCACUUUCAGUAGGGAGGAAGAGUUGAGUGUUAAUAGUACUCAGCUUUGACGUUACCUACAGAAGAAGCACCGGCUAACUCUGUGCCAGCAGCCGCGGUAAUACAGAGGGUGCAAGCGUUAAUCGGAAUUACUGGGCGUAAAGCGCACGCAGGCGGUUGGUUAAGUCAGAUGUGAAAGCCCCGGGCUCAACCUGGGAAUUGCAUUUGAAACUGGCCAACUAGAGUACGUGAGAGGGGGGUAGAAUUCCAAGUGUAGCGGUGAAAUGCGUAGAGAUUUGGAGGAAUACCAGUGGCGAAGGCGGCCCCCUGGCACGAUACUGACGCUCAGGUGCGAAAGCGUGGGGAGCAAACAGGAUUAGAUACCCUGGUAGUCCACGCCGUAAACGAUGUCUACUAGCUGUUCGUGGUCUUGUACUGUGAGUAGCGCAGCUAACGCACUAAGUAGACCGCCUGGGGAGUACGGUCGCAAGAUUAAAACUCAAAUGAAUUGACGGGGGCCCGCACAAGCGGUGGAGCAUGUGGUUUAAUUCGACGCAACGCGAAGAACCUUACCAGGUCUUGACAUCCAGAGAACUUUCCAGAGAUGGAUUGGUGCCUUCGGGAGCUCUGAGACAGGUGCUGCAUGGCUGUCGUCAGCUCGUGUCGUGAGAUGUUGGGUUAAGUCCCGUAACGAGCGCAACCCUUGUCCUUAGUUGCCAGCGCGCNNNNNNNGCACUCUAGAUCGACUGCCGGUGACAAACCGGAGGAAGGUGGGGAUGACGUCAAAUCAUCAUGCCCCUUAUGACCUGGGCUACACACGUACUACAAUGGCCGGUACAACGGGAAGCGAAGCCGUGAGGUGGAGCCAAUCCUAUCAAAGCCGGUCUCAGUUCGGAUUGCAGGCUGCAACUCGCCUGCAUGAAGUCGGAAUUGCUAGUAAUCGCGGAUCAGCAUGCUGCGGUGAAUACGUUCCCGGGUCUUGUACACACCGCCCGUCACACCACGAGAGUUUACAACACCCGAAGUCGGUGAGGUAACCGUAAGGAGCCAGCUGCCGAAGGUGGGGUAGAUGAUUGGGGUGAAGUCGUAACAAGGUAACCA